GGGUUAGUAAGGGCGUAUGGUGGAUGCCUUGACACCGAACGGCGAAGAAGGACGUGGCGUGGCUGCGAUAAGCCUCGGGGAGGUGCUUAGCGACCGUUGAUCCGGGGAUGUCCGAAUGGGAAAACCCCAUCGCGUAAACCGCGAUGAUCCGCUCCCGUAAGUGGAGCGAGAAGCGCACCCGCUGAAGUGAAACAUCUCAGUAAGCGGAGGAACAGAAAACAAUCUCGCAGCAAUGCGGGACAAUUCCCUUAGUAGCGGCGAGCGAACCGGGAAGAGCCUAAACUACGACCACCGAUUGUAAAAAUUGGAGGUCGGAGGGUUGCAAGAUGAGAACACAUUCCUGGCGUACAACUUACAGCUGAUCCCGCAAUUGCGGGAUUGGUGGUGAGUUGUUCGUUGGGAGUAUGGAGUUACAAAUUGAUUUGCUAGCAGAACGGGCUGGAAAGCCCGACCAAAGAAGGUGAUAGUCCUGUACGCGAAAGCAGAUCAACUUCAGUUUUCAAUCUUAAGUACUCCGAGGCAAACAAACUUUGGAGGAAACAGCGAGUACUAUCUCGCAAGGCUAAAUACGUUCGGUGAUCGAUAGUGAACUAGUACCGCGAGGGAAAGGUGAAAAGUACCCCGGGAGGGGGAUGAAAUAGUAUCUGAAACCAUACGCUUACAAGGACUCGGAGCCCGGCCGAUGCGCAGCACGCAACUCAUAACUCGUAACUAAUAACUUAUAACAAGUUGUUAGUUGUACGUUUUAAGUUGUAAGUUGCGCGCUGUGCAGCGGUGGGUGACGUGGUGCCUAUUGAAGAAUGAGCCAACGAGUUUACGGGUAUGGCAAGUCUAAGGCCGCUUAGCGGCCGGAGGCGUAGGGAAACCGAGUGUUAACAGCGCGUUCACCCUCCCAACUUUGCAUCAGAGCAUUUUCCUUGUAAUAAGGAAGUGCCGGGGGCAAAGUUGGGAGGGUAAAGCCGUAUCCGUAAGACCCGAAGCCAGAGCGAGCUUACCCUGGCCAGGAUGAACCCCGCGUAACAGCGGGGGGAGGUCCGAACUGGUGGGUUGUGCAAAACCCUCGGAUGAGCUGGGGUAAGAAGUGAAAAGCUAAUCGAGCCUGGUAAUAGCUGGUUCUCUCCGAAAUAGUUUUAGGACUAGCGUCGCGAUCUUUUGGUGCGGGGGUAGAGCUACUGGUUCAGGAGUAAUGGGCGAAAGCUCGACUCUUGAGUCAAACUCCGAAUACCGUAUCAUAUGCGCGAUAGUCAGAAUGUGGGGGCAAAGCUCCAUGUUCGCGAGGGGAACAGCCCAGAUCGUCGUCUAAGGUCCCUAAAUCUUCGCUCAGUGUAAAAGGUAGUCGUGAAGCAGAGACAGAUAGGAGGUUGGCUUAGAGGUAGCCAUCCUUUAAAGAGUGUGUAACAACUCACUAUUCAAGGUUCACGGCGCCGAAAAUGUACCGGGGCUAAGCGAAGUACCGAAGACACGGGUCUCCGACCUCAAUAUUCUUUAUUGAAUGAUGUGGUCGGAGGCGGUAGGAGAGCAUUUCGAGUGCACUGAAGCAGGAUCCGCGAGGACCUGUGGAGCGCUCGGAAGAGAGAAUGUUGGUAUGAGUAACCACAUAUCCAAUGAGAAAUUGGAUCCCCGAAAAUCCAAGGUUUCCGUGGCAAUGGCAAUCAACCACGGGUUAGGCGAUCCUAAGGCAAUGGUGAGAACCGCAGCCGAUGGGAAGCCGGUUAAUAUUCCGGCCCGCGCGCCGAUGUGCGAUGGGGUGACGGAGGAAAAAAGACUGCGCGUCUUAAUGGUUUGGCGUCGCGCGCUUCAAGAAAUGUAUUCAUGGAAAAUCCGGAAUGCUGCCUUUAAUGGCGAAUUUCGCGGGCGUGCGUAAGGUGAGGUUUUUACCUCGCCAAUGCAGUUGAAGAGCCUUCCAAGAAAAACCUCUAAGUUUAGUCGGCGUGCAUCGUACCGUAAACCGACACUGGUGGAUAGGGCGAGUAGCCCAAGGGGAACGAGUGAUUCUUCGUUAAGGAACUCGGCAAAAAAGCGGCCGUAAGUUCGCAAUAAGGCCUGUCCGACCUCAGAUUUAGCAAUAAAUAGGUGGUCGGACCGCAGCGAAAGUAUCUCUGGCGACUGUUUACCAAAAACACAGCUCCCUGCGAAAUCGUAAGAUGAUGUAUAGGGGGUGACACCUGACCGAUGCGAGAAGGUUAACGGUGCCGAUCUAUGUCGUUUACUCGGUAUAGGAUGAGUGCCCGAAGCCCUCGUCAAUGUCAGCGAUAACUAUAAUCGUUCUAAGGUUCUGCACUGGAUUUAGUCUGGUGUAGAAGGAUUGGAACGAUUAUAGAUUAGGUAAAUAGUUCAAAAUUACAUCAAAAAAUAGCUACCUCAUCGUGUGGUAACGCACGAAUGAUCCUACGCGACUCAAAAGAGACUAUACGUCGCGCUCCUAGAAAUAGGAUGAAGAUAUAGUCCUUCGCAUAAAGGAAGUGAAGAGCGCAAUUCCUUUUCGGGUAAGAGAACUUGCCCCUUUCCGCCGUGAGGCGGAUCGAAGAAGACGGCUUAUAACGGUGAACUCCAAAUGGUAUAAUGAAUACAUGGACAAUACCGUGGGAAGUCUUCCGAUAUCACGUCGGACUGACCCCGUAACGACUGGAUCCCGCAAUGCGGGACGAAAUAGAUCGGUAUCAACCGACUAUUACACGCCGUCCUCUACCUUGAAGCUAAGAAAUAUUCCCGAUUACAUUUCGGGAUAUGUUGACGGUGAAGGAUGCUUUACGGUUACCUUCAAUGCAAAAGCGAAAGCAUUAUUAGGAUGGGAGUUACGGCCAAGUUUCUCGGUAAGCCAAAACGAGGACAGACGACAAGUUUUGGAUAUUAUUCGAGAAUAUUUUGGCUGUGGCUACAUUCGUCGCGAUUACGCUGAUAAAACUGUUAAGUUUGAGGUUCGUGAUCAUGACGAACUCAUGACAAAAGUAAUUCCUCACUUUGAACGAUUUCCAUUGCUUUCGAAAAAACAAAAAGACUUCGAGUUGUUCAGAAGUAUUUGCAAGUUGAUUGAUGAAACGCAACAUCUUAAUCGAGAUGGAUUCGUAAAUAUUCUACAACUUGCAUACCGUAUGAAUGGUUCGGGAAAACGAAAGCGAACUAAAGAGGAAAUUAUCAAAAGACUUCAACGUAGAUGAUGAUAUAGUCUGAUCCUUGCCGUAAGGCAAGAUUAACAACGGAAGAAGUUCCGAAGCGCACGAAUGGUGUAACGACUGGAGAACUGUCUCAACGAAGAGCUCGGUGAAAAUGCGAUUCCCGUGAAGACGCGGGAUACCUGCAACAAGACGAAAAGACCCCGGAAGCUUUACUGUAGCUUGGUAUUGGGCUUACGGUGUUCAUGCGUAGCGUAGUGGUGAGGGGUUGAAGGUUCGAUUUUGGUCGGACUGGACCCGACAAUGAAACAGCCAUCUUGAAUAUUGUAAGUUCUAACCCCGUGGGCAAAAACCACGAGGGACAGUGCCUGGUGGGCAGUUUUAAUGGGGCGUUAUCCUCCUAAAAAGUAACGGAGGAGUUUAAAGGUUGGCUUAGCCCGGAUGGAAAUCGGGCUGGACGUGCAAACGCGUAAGCCAGCUUAACUGCGAGGCCGACAAGCCAAGCAGAUGCGAAAGCAGAAGUUAGCGACCCGACCAUUCUUCAUAGGAAGGUGGGAGAUAUCGGACAAAAGCUACUCCGGGGAUAACAGGCUGGUGUUGCCCGAGCGUCCCUAGCGACGGCAACGCUCGGCACCUCGAUGUCGGCUCGCCCUAGCGCGGGGGUGGAGAAGCUCCCAAGCGUAUGGCUGUUCGCCAUUUAAAAGGGCACGUGAGCUGGGUUAGUGACAACUACAUGGAGCCCAGCAAAAUCUUUGAUCGAGAAUAAAUAUUUCAGAGAGAAAUAAACUGACUCAU
Candidatus Blackburnbacteria bacterium is the source of this 3908-nucleotide non-coding RNA. The record is from Rfam. Lineage: Bacteria; Candidatus Blackburniibacteriota.